CCCUUAACUAUUUUCAGAAAAUGAGUGACUUCUCAGUGGAUAAAUCAGAAGGACGUUUUUCAAAGCUUAUUUCAACCCUCUGGUCAUCAACAUAGUUGACGCCUUGACUGUGGACACUAACGCUUUUCAUCUGCUCCAUCACUCUCCCGUAAUUCUUCCUGCCUGUGUGAAUUCCUGCUCAUUCUGGUCUGCUGUUGGAGUUACCCCUGGGAGAUUUCAUCCAUUUUCCGUGGCUUCAGUUACCGUCUGUAGGUACUCUGCUCCACUCUCUGCUGAUGGAACAGCACAGUCUUUGCAGAAGGCGAAGUACAGCUUCAGACACAGCGUCAGAAAACUCUUAUAGGAAAAACUUCAGUUAUGUUGCUUUCAGUUUACUGCCUGUUAAAUUUUUGCUUAAUAGAUCAUGAUCUUUGUGAAUUAAAUGAAUGCCCCUUGGAUCCUGGUGGCUACUUCAUUACUAAUGGAUCAGAAGGUUCUGAUUGUUCAAGAGAAAAUGGCAACAGACACAGUCUAUGUGUUUGCCAAAAAGGACUCUAAAUGCCUACACAGGAGAGUAUAGAUCAUGUCUGGAGAAUUCUUCUCGACCUACCAGUACUAUCUGGGUUAGCAUGCUGGCCAGAGGAGGACAGGUAAGGGCUGUGGUAUGAUACUGUUUGGGUUUAUUACUUUUGGUCUAGUUUUGUAAGUUACCAGACUGUGUGCUUAGUCAGAAAGUCUUUCUGGAGCCUAUUAUUACUGUUGUAUGGUAGGCAUUUUAUUAUUUGUUUAUUGCUGUGUAAAAAAUUACUGUAGUAGCACCAUUCCUCAUGGCACAAUUUCUGGGUGUGGCUUAGCUGGGUCCUCUGGUCAAACACCUCUCAUGAUGCUGCAGAGGCUACAGUCAGGGCGUUUGUCUGAGGGCUGAUUUGCAUGGUGGGCAGCCAGAUCCAGUUCCUUGCUGCAGGGCUUCCUUCAUGCAGUGGCUGACAGCAGGCAGCUGGCAUGUCAGGGAGAGGGAGGGAGAGCCCUGGAACACACAGGCAAGAUGGAAAUCAUUGACUUUGGUGUCUUCAUCCUCAAAGCAGCGGCCUGUGGUCUUUGUGAGAUGCAAGUCAGCAUGUCCAGUUGAUACUCAAGAGCUAACAGUGUAAGAGUGGGCAGGGCUCACCAGGCACUAUCUCAGAAGCCACCUGUCCCAGGCAUGUUGCUUACGGCAAUGUAAUCUAAUAGCAGCUAGUGUUUUUCUGUUUUCGUUUUUGUUUUUGUUUUUGUCUUUUUGGGGCUGCCCCCACGACAUAUGGAGGUUCCCAGGCUAGGGGUUGAAUCGGAGCUACAGCCGCCAGCCUAGCCAUAUCCACAGCAGCACCAGAUCCGAGCCACAUCUGUGACCUGCACCACAGCUCACAGCAAUGCUGAAUCCUUAAGCCACUGAGCAAGGCCAGGGAUUGAACCCAUGUCCUCAUGGAUGCUAGUCAGGUUCAUUACUGCUGAACCACGAUGGGAACUUCUAACAUUUCUUGACUAUGUGCUGUGUGCAGGUUAUGUUACUCAGAUUGCUUGAUUUAAUCUUUACAACUAUGUUCGAAAUUUGUAAUUAACUAUUUAAUUCCAUGUAAAUUUUUUAUUAAAAAUUUAAAAAUUAAAAUAUAAAAAAUUUUUAAAAUGUCAUACAUGCACAUUAAAAUAGUUUGAAAAGUACAGAAAAGAAUACACUAUAAAAAGUAGUCUUCCUUUGACCCCUAGCUCUCUUCCCUAGAGGUA
Molecule: long non-coding RNA, 1740 nt
Filed under: Sus scrofa (pig)
Lineage: Eukaryota; Metazoa; Chordata; Mammalia; Artiodactyla; Suidae
Description: lncRNA (ENSSSCG00060003820.1)
Source: RNAcentral